RNAcentral lists this ribosomal RNA (1049 nucleotides) under Salmonella enterica subsp. enterica serovar Oranienburg. Its description in RNAcentral is "partial 23S ribosomal RNA". It matches the Rfam family "Bacterial large subunit ribosomal RNA", at positions 711 to 1757 of the family's 2925-position model. The record is from RNAcentral. Lineage: Bacteria; Pseudomonadati; Pseudomonadota; Gammaproteobacteria; Enterobacterales; Enterobacteriaceae.
AGACCCGAAACCCGGUGAUCUAGCCAUGGGCAGGUUGAAGGUUGGGUAACACUAACUGGAGGACCGAACCGACUAAUGUUGAAAAAUUAGCGGAUGACCUGUGGCUGGGGGUGAAAGGCCAAUCAAACCGGGAGAUAGCUGGUUCUCCCCGAAAGCUAUUUAGGUAGCGCCUCGUGAAUUCAUCUCCGGGGGUAGAGCACUGUUUCGGCUAGGGGGCCAUCCCGGCUUACCAACCCGAUGCAAACUGCGAAUACCGGAGAAUGUUAUCACGGGAGACACACGGCGGGUGCUAACGUCCGUCGUGAAGAGGGAAACAACCCAGACCGCCAGCUAAGGUCCCAAAGUCAUGGUUAAGUGGGAAACGAUGUGGGAAGGCCCAGACAGCCAGGAUGUUGGCUUAGAAGCAGCCAUCAUUUAAAGAAAGCGUAAUAGCUCACUGGUCGAGUCGGCCUGCGCGGAAGAUGUAACGGGGCUAAACCAUGCACCGAAGCUGCGGCAGCGACACUCAGGUGUUGUUGGGUAGGGGAGCGUUCUGUAAGCCUGUGAAGGUGGCCUGUGAGGGUUGCUGGAGGUAUCAGAAGUGCGAAUGCUGACAUAAGUAACGAUAAAGCGGGUGAAAAGCCCGCUCGCCGGAAGACCAAGGGUUCCUGUCCAACGUUAAUCGGGGCAGGGUGAGUCGACCCCUAAGGCGAGGCCGAAAGGCGUAGUCGAUGGGAAACGGGUUAAUAUUCCCGUACUUGGUGUUACUGCGAAGGGGGGACGGAGAAGGCUAUGUUGGCCGGGCGACGGUUGUCCCGGUUUAAGCGUGUAGGUGUGUGUUCCAGGUAAAUCCGGUUCACUUUAACACUGAGGCGUGACGACGAGGCACUACGGUGCUGAAGCAACAAAUGCCCUGCUUCCAGGAAAAGCCUCUAAGCAUCAGGUAACAUCAAAUCGUACCCCAAACCGACACAGGUGGUCAGGUAGAGAAUACCAAGGCGCUUGAGAGAACUCGGGUGAAGGAACUAGGCAAAAUGGUGCCGUAACUUCGGGAGAAGGCACGCUGACAU